GAAUAGGUAUUGUGCGGUGAAAAACUGUGAACCAUGUCAGGCGGGGAACCGAGCAGCAUUAAGCAUUCUCUUUCAUGCGAUACAAUUAACCUUUUCAAC
RNAcentral lists this signal recognition particle RNA (99 nucleotides) under Oscillospiraceae bacterium. RNAcentral describes it as "signal recognition particle sRNA small type". It matches the Rfam family "Bacterial small signal recognition particle RNA". Rfam says of the family: The signal recognition particle (SRP) is a universally conserved ribonucleoprotein involved in the co-translational targeting of proteins to membranes. Lineage: Bacteria; Bacillati; Bacillota; Clostridia; Eubacteriales; Oscillospiraceae. The record is from RNAcentral.